UUUUAUGAAUUAUGCAUGUAUAAUAACAUACAGUAUACAUAGUACACACGUACAAUACUUGUGCAUUAUAAUUUUAAAAACCAAGGAUUAUACAAAUUAGUAUACAUAUAUGUAUAUAUAUAAAUAUUGAUGAGUGAGUGCGGAUAUUUAAAUGUUCGUACUACUUAUACGAUAUACUUGCAGUGACGCAGCCAGACGGUGAGAGGAGGGGCGUGGCACCGGUACCGUAUUUAAAAAAUAUUUUUAUCAGAAUCGUUUCGCGCUCGUAUAAGGCUAUUUCACUGCGUAUUUACACGGUAUAGUAGUUUUGUGUUUGUUUUUUUGUGGCCUUCCUUCGUUGAGAAAUCCUGGCUACGACAUUGCAGUGUACUAUCGUACUUAUCAACUGGCGAACCCGUUGCGUUAUUACAAAGAAUAAUAAAAAAAAAACAAUAAACCAGUAUGUUAUAACAUAACACACUCAAUAUAUUCGUGUAUAUUUUAUUAUAACGACAAUUUACAGUAUUAUUAUUAACGUUUACAAUAGGUUUUUACAUACACACACAAAGUACCUAUUGGAUAAAAUCAAUAGUUCUUUCUCGCUACUACUAUUGUUUUCAUACCAUUUAUAGUCUAUAUUAUCAUAGUAUAUGUAUAACGUAUUUAAUUUUUUAUUUUUUUUUUUUCGAAGUAAUUGACAGUCAAUACGCAAAAAAAAACAGCGUGAAAUGAUAUUAUAUUUUUCGUAACAUUAUCAC
This is a non-coding RNA of Cinara cedri, 737 nucleotides long. The record is from the annotation of a GenBank genome assembly. NCBI's taxonomy places the organism in Eukaryota, Metazoa, Arthropoda, Insecta, Hemiptera, Aphididae.